This 463-nucleotide ribosomal RNA is filed under the name uncultured bacterium. RNAcentral's name for it is "partial 16S ribosomal RNA". It matches the Rfam family "Bacterial small subunit ribosomal RNA", at positions 28 to 507 of the family's 1533-position model. The record is from RNAcentral.
GAUGAACGCUGACAGAAUGCUUAACACAUGCAAGUCUUUGGCGAAUCUGUGCUUGCACAGGCUAGCCAAGGCGGACGGGUGAGUAACGCGUAAAGAACUUGCCCUGCAGACAGGGAUAACAGACGGAAACGACUGAUAACACCUGAUACAGUUGCCGGCACGCAUGUGCCUGGCAAUGAAAAGAGAUGCUGCAGGAGAGCUUUGCGUCCUAUUAGCUUGUUGGUGAGGUGACGGCUCACCAAGGCGAUGAUAGGUAGCCGGCCUGAGAGGGUGAACGGCAACAAGGGGACUGAGAGACGGCCCAUACUCCUAAAGGAGGAAGCAGUGAGGAAUAUAGGACAAGGGGGGCAAACGUGAUCAAGGAAUUCUGUGUGAACGAAGAAGGUUUUCGGAUUGUAAAGUGCUUUAAGCAAGGAAGAAGAAAGUGAAGGUACCUGAAGAAGAAGAGACGGCUAAAUAAGUG